Oxyura jamaicensis (ruddy duck) is the source of this 430-nucleotide long non-coding RNA. RefSeq lists it as uncharacterized. NCBI's taxonomy places the organism in Eukaryota, Metazoa, Chordata, Aves, Anseriformes, Anatidae. The record is from RefSeq and is a predicted model, not a curated record. The transcript has 2 exons.
GUUUUAACUGCCCCUACAAUUUGUACAUGCACAUAAGAAGAAAGACUUCUCAGCAGGUCACUGUGAGGGAGAGAAAUAAUGGCAAUAUGCUACAUGGAUAGUCUUUGUAUUCUGGAACCAGUGAGGGAUGAGUCUGGCAACUAGGAAUAGCCUGAGCUUGUGUUCAGCUAUAUUACAUGUCCUCCCAAAAUAAUGAAUAAUAGGAGUUUCAGCUAGUGUAGAGCCACACUGGUGUUUUUAGAGUACUGUUAGAAACAUAAUUUGUAAAAGUUAUGAUGUAUUUGUAAGCUAUGAUGUCUUGCAGCUUUUUACAACAGAACUGCUAGAGAUAAAACCAGAAUCUAAGACCUUGUUUUUAAUAGGUAAAAUUUCCUAAGAAGGUGAAAGUAGCACACAGCACUUUCCUUGUCAUAAUGAAAGGCUUUGUGAA